CUCAGUAACACGUGGAUAAUCUGCCCUGAGGUGGGGGAUAACCUCUGCGAAAGUGAGAAUAAUACCCCAUAGGUGGGGAUGUGCUGGAACGCCGUCCCGCUGAAACGAGCUUAUCGCCUCAGGAUGAGUCUGCGGCCUAUCAGGUUGUAGUGGGGGUAAUGUCCCUACUAGCCUUCGACGGGUACGGGCCUUGGGAGAGGUAGCCCGGAGAUGGAUUCUGAGACAUGAAUCCAGGCCCUACGGGGCGCAGCAGGCGCGAAAACUUCACAAUGCGGGAAACCGCGAUGAGGGUAUUCCAAGUGCGUGCGCAAUGCGUACGCUUUUCUCCAGUCUAGAUAGCUUGAGGAAUAAGGGCUGGGUAAGACCGGUGCCAGCCGCCGCGGUAACACCGGCAGCCCAAGUGGUGAUCACUUUUAUUGGGCCUAAAGCGUCCGUAGCCUGCUCGGUAAGUCCUUGGGUAAAUCAUCCAGCUUAACUGUAUGAAUUCCAGGGAUACUGCCGGGCUUGGGACUGGGAGAGGCUAGAGGUACUCACGGGGUAGGGGUAAAAUCCAGUAAUCCUGUGGGGACCACCAGUGGCGAAGGCGUCUAGCUAGAACGGCUCCGACGGUAAGGGACGAAGCCCAGGGGCACAAACCGGAUUAGAUACCCGGGUAGUCCUGGGUGUAAACGCUGCGGGCUUGGUGUUGGAGGUCCUGCUAGGGCGUUCAGUGCCGUAGAGAAGUUGUUAAGCCCGCCGCCUGGGGAGUACGGUCGCAAGGCUGAAACUUAAAGGAAUUGGGGGGGGAACACUGCAACGGGUGGAGCGUGCGGUUUAAUUGGAUUCAACGCCGGG
RNAcentral lists this ribosomal RNA (834 nucleotides) under uncultured euryarchaeote. RNAcentral describes it as "bacterial SSU rRNA". It matches the Rfam family "Archaeal small subunit ribosomal RNA", at positions 89 to 922 of the family's 1478-position model. Lineage: Archaea; Methanobacteriati; Methanobacteriota. The record is from RNAcentral.